AUCCUGGCUCAGGAUAAACGCUGGCGGCGCACAUAAGACAUGCAAGUCGAACGGAAGUCGUUAUAAAAAGGAUUGAAGAUUUAUCUGAUUGAGAUUUUAUAACAAUGGCUUUAGUGGCGGACUGGUGAGUAACGCGUGAGCAACCUGCCUACUAGAGGGGAAUAACAGUGAGAAAUCAUUGCUAAUACCGCAUAUGCCAUGAACACCACAUGAUGAAAAUGGGAAAAGAGUAA
This 233-nucleotide ribosomal RNA is filed under the name uncultured bacterium. RNAcentral describes it as "partial 16S ribosomal RNA". It matches the Rfam family "Bacterial small subunit ribosomal RNA", at positions 16 to 212 of the family's 1533-position model. The record is from RNAcentral.